UACGGGGGGGGCAAGCGUUGUUCGGAAUUACUGGGCGUAAAGGGCUCGUAGGUGGCCAACUAAGUCAUACGUGAAAUCCCUCGGCUUAACCGGGGAACUGCGCCUGAUACUGGUUGGCUUGAGUUUGGGAGAGGGACGCGGAAUUCCAGGUGUAGCGGUGAAAUGCGCAGAUAUCAGGAGGAACACCGGUGGCGAAGGCGGCUAUCUGGCCCGUAAUUGACGCUGAGGCGCGAAAGCGUGGGGAGCAAACAGG
RNAcentral lists this ribosomal RNA (253 nucleotides) under uncultured bacterium. RNAcentral's name for it is "partial 16S ribosomal RNA". It matches the Rfam family "Bacterial small subunit ribosomal RNA", at positions 524 to 776 of the family's 1533-position model. The record is from RNAcentral.